RNAcentral lists this ribosomal RNA (468 nucleotides) under uncultured bacterium. RNAcentral describes it as "partial 16S ribosomal RNA". It matches the Rfam family "Bacterial small subunit ribosomal RNA", at positions 28 to 507 of the family's 1533-position model. The record is from RNAcentral.
GACGAACGCUGGCGGCGUGCUUAACACAUGCAAGUCGAACGGAAAGGCCCUGCUUUUGUUGGGUGCUCGAGUGGCGAACGUGUGAGUAACACUUGGGUAACCUUCCCUUUACUUUGGGAUAUCUUCAGGAAACUGGGGCUAAUACCGGAUAUGAGCUCCUGCUGCAUGUUGUGGGUUGGAAAGUUUCGGCGGUUGGGGAUGGACUCGCGGCUUAUCAGCUUGUUGGUGGGGUAGUGGCUUACCAAGGCUUUGACGGGUAGCCGGCAUGAGAGGGUGACCGGGAACAUUGGGACUGAGAUACGGCCCAGAGGCCAACGGGAGGCAGCAGGGGGGAAUAUUGCAGAAUGGGAGGAAGCCUGAUGAAGAAACGCAGGGGGCGGGAUGACGGCCUUCGGGUUGUAAACCGCUUUAGCAUGUGAAGAAGAGUGAGUGACGGUAAUGGGUAAAGAAGCACCGGCUAACUACGUG